This 29-nucleotide non-coding RNA is filed under the name Mus musculus (house mouse). The record is from RNAcentral. Lineage: Eukaryota; Metazoa; Chordata; Mammalia; Rodentia; Muridae.
UUCCAUGACUUUCUCAACCUCAAAUGCUA